GGCUCGGGACGCGAGGGGGAGGGGUGGGGAAGGAGGCUGCUGGAGCGGGUCCUGGCCAUUCCCAGACGGGUCGAGGCUGAUGAGGACUCCCAGGCGCUGGGGGCGGCACAGAGGGGCCGUGGCCCCUAUGGAAAUCAGAGAAGGCUAGGACCCCAAAGCGUGGCCAGGCCCAUCGUGAGGAUAGGCGUUGUUCCGCGGAAGGUGCAAGCCAUCAGCGGCUCCAGAAUUUCUAAAACGGAAGGACUUGCGGGUGUGGAGCACAUGGAGGAGCUUCCCAGCAGACGUCUAUCUGGAUUGCCUGGAUCCUGAACCCAACAGAGAGCUGGGCACGGAGUGAGCUGCUUCUCCUUGGCAGACUCCUUGCGAGCUGAAAAAAGCAGCAGAUGUCAGAGACAUGCCAAAGCAGUGCACCAAAUUGAGCCUCCCCGCUGCUUCCCAGCACACCUUCAGCCUUCUCUUUAAGGUGCUGGUGCUGAUCCAGGAGGCUGACGUUGGACUGUGGGCCCAGAGGGAUGUCGUCCUCAUCUCCCCGGGGCUCGCUGCCGCUGUCCUGCAGCUCCUCCUCCGCAGCUCCUUUGCGCCUUCGUUGCAAUAGCUUCUGGAGCUGAGGUUCCACCAGCGCCCCUCAGAGCCAAGCCCAAGACAAAGCGGAGUAUCGGGCCCAGGGGGCUUGCGUCAGAAUCUUGGCUUUUGGGAGAGGGUCCUGUGCCACGCGACAUGGAGGUGCCCUACCCCUCAGAUCAGACUGGCAGUCCCUGGUUUGCCUAGGGGCCACGGUCCCAACUACUGACAGCUCACUCCACUGGAUGCCACCCUCCCUCCCACACCCUCAUUUCUCUUCUGACCCGAGGCCCUCACCAACAGUUGCCGCCGCUGUCGCAAAGGCACGUAAGGCACGUAGUCUUCGUCGUCCUCAUCCUCCGCCUCGGAGCGGCUUCCUGUGGCAGUCGCUUCAUCUGUGCGAACACGCUACAGAUACAGAUGAAUCAGGCCCAGGCCCCCGCUUUCACAGCUGCUCGCCACCCGCACCGACCCCUACCUCGCUCCCACCUUCCGUUCAGGUUCCGAGUCCUCCAUCCUUUGCUGUACGCAGGCGCGCUACGGUAAAACCCCGCCUCAAUUUUUGCGUGAGAUCCAAUCAGAUGUGAAGAAGCGGAAGGUCGGCACCUAGCAACGACCUCUGAGUGCCGGAUCGCGCAGAGGGACAAACUUUCCCGAAACCCUGUCAGGCAGUGCAGCGUCAAAGUACCCUUGGGCGGCUGCGCAUUUGUUGCCAGGGGCGAGGGCGAAGCGUCAUACAAUGCAUUAUGGGACGCUGGAGGACUUGGAGCAUGCGCUAAAAGCUCAAACGAAGCCUGGUGGAAGGUCCCACGAGUGGAGAUACAGAAGAGACCCGCCUACCGGAGGCCUAGCUUCGCCCAUAGCCUGACGUCAUCUGGCACGUUCCGGGACUGGGCCAACUGGGACCCCACCGGGGACUCCAUCCCGGGCACGGGGCGCGGGUAACGAAUCAACUUGCACUGCAGCUCUGACUGGCGUCCUUAUCUAUGUGACAACACGUAAAGCAGCUCCUUGAUCAGACCUGCAAUUUUUGAAUGAUGAAGCAGAAUUUUAGAUAAUUAUGCCAGUUCAGUUGCAGCAUGGGAGCCUGGUGCAAGAGUUGAAAGGAAAGAACAAAGGUCUCAGCUUGGUUGCCACUUCUACUAGGAAGGCUGCCCUGGCCUCGCCUACGUUUCAGCUUCGCCUGUCGCCCCACUUCUAGCUGCCUCCCCCACGGCCCCAUACCCUUACUCUUCCAACAGCACUCAACAUUGUUUAUGGCUCUCUCUCCCCACCUAAGCUGUGUUUGAUUUGCCUCUACCCUAGAGCUCAGCCCAGGCAGAGCAGAGAAAGUGCAAAUGAAUAAACAAAGUGAAUAAAGCUGGA
This is a long non-coding RNA of Herpailurus yagouaroundi (jaguarundi), 1926 nucleotides long. RefSeq lists it as uncharacterized. The transcript is spliced from 6 exons. Lineage: Eukaryota; Metazoa; Chordata; Mammalia; Carnivora; Felidae. The record is from RefSeq and is a predicted model, not a curated record.